GACGAACCGUGCGAACGUUGUUCGGAAUCACUGGGCUUAAAGGGCGCGUAGGCGGGCUCGCAAGUCCGGGGUGAAAUCCCACGGCUCAACCGUGGAAGCGCCUUGGAUACUGCGGGCCUCGAGGGGGGUAGGGGCGCGCGGAACUUCCGGUGGAGCGGUGAAAUGCGUAGAUAUCGGAAGGAACACCGGUGGCGAAAGCGGCGCGCUGGGCCCCUUCUGACGCUGAGGCGCGAAAGCCAGGGGAGCAAACGGGAUUAGAAACCCCAGUAGUCC
This 273-nucleotide ribosomal RNA is filed under the name uncultured bacterium. Its description in RNAcentral is "partial 16S ribosomal RNA". It matches the Rfam family "Bacterial small subunit ribosomal RNA", at positions 524 to 796 of the family's 1533-position model. The record is from RNAcentral.